RNAcentral lists this long non-coding RNA (202 nucleotides) under Mytilus galloprovincialis (Mediterranean mussel). Lineage: Eukaryota; Metazoa; Mollusca; Bivalvia; Mytilida; Mytilidae. The record is from RNAcentral.
GUUGACUAUCACUAAGAUUGGUUCCAUUGCCUUCAAAAAAUCUGCCGGACAAAAAUCAUUGGAAGAAUAAGAAUAAUAAUAACAAAGAAACGGAGGAAAAGCAAUAUGUCACCCGACAUUGUCGAUCGGGUGACAUAACUAGAAUUGCCAUUGCAAGCAAUAGCGGAUGUCACCCUUCCCCCAUUGCCACUAAGCGGCAGCC